Molecule: ribosomal RNA, 397 nt
Filed under: uncultured bacterium
Lineage: Bacteria
Description: partial 16S ribosomal RNA
Rfam family: Bacterial small subunit ribosomal RNA
Source: RNAcentral
AUACGUAGGGGGCGAGCGUUGUCCGGAAUGAUUGGGCGUAAAGGGCGCGUAGGCGGCCUGUUAAGUCUGGAGUGAAAGUCCUGUUUUCAAGAUGGGAAUUGCUUUGGAUACUGAUGGGCUUGAGUGCAGGAGAGGUUAUCGGAAUUCCCGGUGUAGCGGUGAAAUGCGUAGAGAUCGGGAGGAACACCAGUGGCGAAGGCGGGUAACUGGACUGCAACUGACGCUGAAGCGCGAAAGUGUGGGGAGCAAACAGGAUUAGAUACCCUGGUAGUCCACACUGUAAACGAUGAAUGCUAGGUGUAAGAGGUAUCGACCCCUUUUGUGCCGGAGUUAACACAAUAAGCAUUCCGCCUGGGGAGUACGGCCGCAAGGUUGAAACUCAAAUGAAUUGACGGGG